GAUUAGAAUGGUGGCUCAGGCUUGGCUCAGACACCCCACAUCUUUAGGGAGACACCACCUCUUUCCUUCUCCAAGGCUGUUUGCUGCAUCUGAAAAGACAAUCUGGAACAAGAGGACAGUCAGGCCAGCCAGGGUGGUUCAUUCCUAUAAUCCCAGCACUUUGGGAGGCCAAGGCAGGUGAAUCACUUGAGGUCAGGAGUUCGAGACCAGCCUAGCCAACAUGGGGAAACCCUGUCUCUAUUAAAAAUACAAAAAUCAGCCGGGUGUGGUGGGUGCACCUGUAAUCCUAGCUACUCGGGAGGCUGAGGCAGAAGAAUCGCUUGAACCUGGGAGGUGGAGAUUGCAGUGAGCCGAGAUCAUGCCACUGCACUCCAGCCUGGUGACAGAGCAAGACUCCAUCAAAACAAACAAAAACAAAAACAAAACAAAAAACAAAAAAACCCUAAAACCAAACCAAACAAAAAUGGUUAAAAUUCUACACUUUCUUAUCAUAGUUUACUGCAAUUAAAAAUCAAAACAAAACAAAACAAAAA
Molecule: non-coding RNA, 533 nt
Filed under: Pongo abelii (Sumatran orangutan)
Lineage: Eukaryota; Metazoa; Chordata; Mammalia; Primates; Hominidae
Source: RNAcentral